CCUGGCAAGAAUCAGCAUGAGAGUGGUCCUUCCAGACCACCUCCACAGAAAGACUGGGAAAAUUUUCCAGUUGAACAAGACCAGUGCCUGAAGUGCAAAAAGAGAGGGCACUACAAGAGGGACUGCCCAGAAUUCCUGAAAGAGUUGUUAAGAAAGGGGAUCAAGUAUGAGGAGGACCCUGCCAAGAGGCGCAAGAAGAAUUAAAGUUGCAAACGGUGUAGAAGCUGAAGUCGAAGCCAUUGCAGAAUUUCAUUUAGAAUUACAUAGUGGCUUUGUACUUUGUUUGAGAGAUGUUCUUUAUGUACCGUCUUUGCAACGAAACUUAAUAAGUGUGUCUAAAUUAGAUGAUGACGCUAUUGCUUGUCAUUUUGGUGAUGCAAAGUGUAAGAUACAAGUUAAUUCA
Long non-coding RNA from Panicum virgatum (switchgrass), 403 nucleotides. RefSeq lists it as uncharacterized. Lineage: Eukaryota; Viridiplantae; Streptophyta; Magnoliopsida; Poales; Poaceae. The transcript has 2 exons. The record is from RefSeq and is a predicted model, not a curated record.